This 1392-nucleotide long non-coding RNA is filed under the name Mus caroli (Ryukyu mouse). Its description in RNAcentral is "lncRNA (MGP_CAROLIEiJ_G0006881.1)". Lineage: Eukaryota; Metazoa; Chordata; Mammalia; Rodentia; Muridae. The record is from RNAcentral.
GUCCCCCACUGGUCUUCUGAGCAGACUUGACGCAGCUUCAUCUCAUUCCUGAGGUAUCCUGAGCCCCUCAGUGCCAUACUUCUGCGUGAGUGCUGUGAACUGGAGCAAAUGGGUUGAAAAUGGCCAGAAGUUGCUCUUGGUCUCUUUAGAUCUUUUAUGACAAAGAAAAAAAUUGAAUUUCUGAACAGUUAAAAUCCACUUGAGCCAGUUUAAGCUAAUUAUGCAGAACUGGAGCCUGAGGUCGGUAAAUCCAGGAAGAUGGCUGAAUACUAUGCUGACUCAAGUACAGACAAGGAGCCAGAUGAGAAAACCGAGGCUCCAAGAGCUUCUGUGACUUGUCCAAGACCAUGCAGUUAGUUCACAGUGAGGCAAAAAAUCAGUUGUAGAAGCACUUCAGGGAAUUCGGAUACUAUUUUGUGGCCAGGCAAGAUCAGCAGCCUUACUAUCUUAGUCCCUGCCAGUCAUCAGUUCUGGUUUCCCUGUUAUCCUGCUGCUCCCUAGAAUGCAGCUAUCAAGUGGCCUAAGAGCCAGCACCUUCAUGGAGUAGCAAAGAUGAAAGUCCAUUUGAGGACAGAGUGAGAAGACGAUGGUUAUCCACAAGCCAGAAAAAGAAGCCUCACCAGAAAUCCUGAUACCCUGAGUUUGGGUUUUCAGCUCCUACAACUGGCAGACAAUGAAUAUCUUCUUUACAGUCUAUGAUAUCUUGUUUGGUAGACCAAGGAGACUAAUCUAUUACUUAAUAUUGGGAACAUUACUUAGAAGCAAAUGAUCUUCGAAAAUGGUAAAGUUAUUUAUGUUUGCUAUUUUCAUUCUUCCUUUCCUCUGUUGAGCCAUUUAAAACAAUGAUACUGGCACUCAUUUCUCUUUAACCUUCAGUAUUUGAUUUCUAACACUAUGGCUAAGGUCUGACAAACACUGUCUUGAUAAUACACUACAGAGCAUUAGAGACAAUCCCAGAUUUCCAUCCAAAGAGAGUAUUCUAAGCUUGUGUCGUGGCAAUGGAGCACUCUGACCUGUGAAGCAUCAUUGUUUGAAGGCUUUAUUUGUGAUCCUCUUUAGAUCAGAGUUUGGAAGUGAGUUACAGACUAGAUCAUAUCUCCUCAUUCUCUCCAUUUGAUCUUUCUUCCCUCAUUAAUUCCAAAGUAUGCAAGCUAUAUGCUUUUUAGUGUUUUUCCCCCUUCACAGCCAUUGUCUAGGCACCAAAAACAGGGAUGGAAAGAGACAGGUUUAAUCCAAAGCACCAGUUUCCAUUACCUUAAGCUUCCUCAAUGAUUUUUCUGAUGAGAUGAAAUUUCUUAUACUUGGUCUCAGGCCCAAGGUAUAUGCAAUACGUCAAUGAAAUUGAUUGCGACACAUUGAAGUGAGUGCCCGGGAACUAUGAAUUCCUUAAGU